AGACAUGUGACCUAAGGAUUCAUAUUCCC
This 29-nucleotide small RNA is filed under the name Bombyx mori (domestic silkworm). Its description in RNAcentral is "ovarian small RNA-790". Lineage: Eukaryota; Metazoa; Arthropoda; Insecta; Lepidoptera; Bombycidae. The record is from RNAcentral.